GGCGACCUGGGCGGGUCUGGGCAUCCUUUUUUUUCCAAAUGAAGACAGACGAAGCUUGCACUCGCAGAUAAAUGUGGUGCGCGAGUGAAAUGAAGAGACAGAGAAACAAACACGAAGCUUGCACUCGCUGUCCAAUCUUCAAAAUUCAAAUACUCGGUCUUGAGCCUCUCUCUCAACUCAAGCUUGGAUUUUUUUCUUCGAUUUCGGCUGCUGCGUUGAUUCGAUUUUUUUUGUGCUUUUCUGCUAUUGAAGUUGGCAACGUCAGAUGAACAUCCAAGGCAGUUUCUUAGUAUGCCAGAAGAAGCCCAGCAGAUGG
This 316-nucleotide long non-coding RNA is filed under the name Prunus dulcis (almond). Its description in RNAcentral is "sRNA ncRNA". Lineage: Eukaryota; Viridiplantae; Streptophyta; Magnoliopsida; Rosales; Rosaceae. The record is from RNAcentral.